UGAGGAAUAUUGCGCAAUGGGGGCAACCCUGACGCAGCAACGCCGCGUGAGUGAGGAAGGUUUUCGGACCGUAAAGCUCUGUCGAGCGGGAAGAAAUGCAUGAUGGCUAAUAUCCAUUAUGCUUGACGGUACCGCUAAAGGAAGCACCGGCUAACUCCGUGCCAGCAGCCGCGGUAAUACGGGGGGUGCAAGCGUUGUUCGGAAUCAUUGGGCGUAAAGAGCGUGUAGGCGACUGAAUAAGUCAGAUGUGAAAUCCCUGGGCUUAACUCAGGAAGUGCAUUUGAAACUAUUCAGCUCGAGUAGGGGAGAGGAAAGUGGAAUUCCUGGUGUAGAGGUGAAAUUCGUAGAUAUCAGGAGGAACACCGGUGGCGAAGGCGACUUUCUGGCCCUAUACUGACGCUGAGACGCGAGAGCGUGGGUAGCAAACA
Molecule: ribosomal RNA, 428 nt
Filed under: uncultured prokaryote
Description: bacterial SSU rRNA
Rfam family: Bacterial small subunit ribosomal RNA
Source: RNAcentral